Molecule: small nuclear RNA, 108 nt
Organism: Nycticebus coucang (slow loris)
Lineage: Eukaryota; Metazoa; Chordata; Mammalia; Primates; Lorisidae
Source: RefSeq, a predicted model, not a curated record
CUGCUCUCCCUUCAACAGCACAUAUAUUAAAAUUAUAACAUACAGAGAAGAUUAGCAUGGACCCUGCACAAGGAUAAUACACAGAUUCUCCUAAAGCAGUGGUUCUCA